GACGAACGCUGGCGGCGUGCCUAAUACAUGCAAGUAGAACGCUGAAGGAGGAGCUUGCUUCUCUGGAUGAGUUGCGAACGGGUGAGUAACGCGUAGGUAACCUGCCUGGUAGCGGGGGAUAACUAUUGGAAACGAUAGCUAAUACCGCAUAAUAGCAGUUAUUGCAUGAUAACUGUUUGAAAGGUGCAAUUGCACCACUACCAGAUGGACCUGCGUUGUAUUAGCUAGUUGGUGGGGUAACGGCUCACCAAGGCGACGAUACAUAGCCGACCUGAGAGGGUGAUCGGCCACACUGGGACUGAGACACGGCCCAGACUCCUACGGGAGGCAGCAGUAGGGAAUCUUCGGCAAUGGACGGAAGUCUGACCGAGCAACGCCGCGUGAGUGAAGAAGGUUUUCGGACCGUAAAGCUCUGUUGUAAGAGAAGAACGAGUGUGAGAGUGGAAAGUUCACACUGUGACGGUAUCUUACCAGAAAGGGACGGCUAACUACG
Molecule: ribosomal RNA, 493 nt
Filed under: uncultured bacterium
Lineage: Bacteria
Description: partial 16S ribosomal RNA
Rfam family: Bacterial small subunit ribosomal RNA
Source: RNAcentral